This 756-nucleotide ribosomal RNA is filed under the name uncultured Bacteroidota bacterium. Its description in RNAcentral is "bacterial SSU rRNA". It matches the Rfam family "Bacterial small subunit ribosomal RNA", at positions 577 to 1337 of the family's 1533-position model. The record is from RNAcentral. Lineage: Bacteria; Pseudomonadati; Bacteroidota.
GGUGUGGCAAGUCUGAUGUGAAAACCCGGGGCUCAACCCCGGGCCUGCAUUGGAAACUGUCAUACUGGAGUGUCGGAGAGGCAAGCGGAAUUCCUAGUGUAGCGGUGAAAUGCGUAGAUAUUAGGAGGAACACCAGUGGCGAAGGCGGCUUACUGGACGACAACUGACGCUGAGGCUCGAAAGCGUGGGGAGCAAACAGGAUUAGAUACCCUGGUAGUCCGCACGGUAAACGAUGGAUGCCCGGUGUUUGCGAUAUACAGUGAGCGCCCAAGCGAAAGCGUUAAGCAUCCCACCUGGGGAGUACGCCGGCAACGGUGAAACUCAAAGGAAUUGACGGGGGCCCGCACAAGCGGAGGAACAUGUGGUUUAAUUCGAUGAUACGCGAGGAACCUUACCCGGGCUUGAACUGUAGGCGAACGAUCCAGAGAUGGUGAGGCCCUUCGGGGCGCCUAUGGAGGUGCUGCAUGGUUGUCGUCAGCUCGUGCCGUGAGGUGUCGGCUUAAGUGCCAUAACGAGCGCAACCCCUCUCUUCAGUUGCCAUCAGGUUAUGCUGGGCACUCUGGAGACACUGCCACCGUAAGGUGUGAGGAAGGUGGGGAUGACGUCAAAUCAGCACGGCCCUUACGUCCGGGGCUACACACGUGUUACAAUGGGUGGUACAGAGAGUUGUGUGUACGCAAGUGCAUUCUAAUCAAGAAAGCCAUCCUCAGUUCGGACUGGGGUCUGCAACCCGACCCCACGAAGCUGGAUUCGCUA